Molecule: long non-coding RNA, 1514 nt
Organism: Hirundo rustica (Barn swallow)
Lineage: Eukaryota; Metazoa; Chordata; Aves; Passeriformes; Hirundinidae
Exons: 3
Source: RefSeq, a predicted model, not a curated record
GCUGUGUCCUUUCCUCUUUGCUUUCACGUCGAGAGCUGUUUGCUCACUGUGGAGUCGUUGGGAGCAUUACUGAAGAGUUCGGAGGGAAGCAGUGUGCUGGGAAGGCUGCAUCUGCACCGGUGAUGUGGCUGCAUCUCUCCUCACUGGAAAGAGAGCUGAAGUUCUGGGGGCUGAGGGGCUAUCAGUCCCUCUUAAUUAACAGGACAGUUACCAAGUCACAGGCAUGUGUGCCUGAACGUGACCCACAUAAUCCUGUAAAACGGGGAUUUGUAUGAGGACGCCUUGAAAGGUCAUCCAGCCCACCUGUACCCUGAGGUACAAUCGCGUGUGAGUCUUUCUGGACAGAGAUUUGCCGAGCCUGUUCCUGGAGCCCUCAGCCAUGGAGAACCGCAGCCAGAGGAGCGACCCCUGUGCCAGAACUCAGCUUUCCUGAAUCGGGGCCCUUUCCUUCUUCUGGCUGGGAGCACCCAACAAAUGAAGGAGGUGCUCCAGCAAGAAAAAGUAUCCGUGUCCAUCCCACAGCCCUGACAGCAUCAGCCCCGAUUGCUCAUCUGUUUCCAAGUACAGCUGAGACAUUUUGCUGGUGGGCAGAGAAGUCAGGGACACUGCAUCCAGCACCCUGCAGCGGAGGAAGCAUUAGUACUGCUGUUGUUAGCCUUGUUAUUUUCUCCUAAUAAAAAGGUGGUCAUGACUCACUCCAUUAAGAAACAAAAGCAGAGCUGUAAUCUACUGAAAGGCAGUUGUUUGGAUGCUCAGCAUUAGGCGUGUAAAAGGAGGAAGGUCAGCUGCAGGUCAGGUCUGGUGAUAUACACCCUGCCACCAGCACGGCCCAAACUUCAGGUGUUCUCCAGAGAAUUGAUUUUUUUGGGCUGCGGUAAUUUGCCCCGGCUUCAGAGGUUUCACUUUUGGCAGGAGUGUGGAGGGAGAAAAAGCUCUGUUUCUCACCCCUUCACAUUUCAGUUGGGUUUCCUGAGAGGAAAUGAUACUGCGACUGUGCUGGCCCCCUCCUUCCUCUCGGGAGGGAGGAGCACACCAGCAUCUGCUCACAGCACCUCUUCCCUACGCCCCACUGGGACCAGUUUGCCAGCUGAGCUGUUACUGGGGUGUGAGUCCCGAGGGAAGCAGGCUGCUUCUCACAGAGGAAGUGGUGGCCCCUGGAGCUGGGGACUGAGAGUCAGGGAAGGCAGGUUGUGUUCAGGUGGUGUGCAGGUUUUCUGUGUGAGCAGGACUAGGUCACAGCACCCCUACCCAUGCCAGAUUUCCCAUCUAGUCCAUGUGAAGGUUUUUGGCACAGUUGUGGUGAUCCAGUUCUGACCGGAACCGUGCUGGCACGUGGGUCUCACCCAGCCAUGUAGCUCACAAAGCCCAGCUGCCUCCCAGGGUGGGUGCAGGGAAAGGGAGGGAGCCGGGCUGCCGUGAUGGCAGUGGCCAGGUGAAGACAACACCCACGCUGAAUGCGCUGUGAACAUCUGCCCCUACCCACAAGCUACUCCUAUUUCUGUUCCAUCUCAUAC